RNAcentral lists this long non-coding RNA (1636 nucleotides) under Danio rerio (zebrafish). Its description in RNAcentral is "uncharacterized LOC100535321 (LOC100535321)". The record is from RNAcentral. Lineage: Eukaryota; Metazoa; Chordata; Actinopteri; Cypriniformes; Danionidae.
UCUGCAGCUGGAUAUAUCUCGUUGAGUCUGCAGCCAGACAGUUGCAGUCAGCUAUAUUAUCGGAUAAAGAAAAAUGCUUUUUGAAACAUUGGUAUUAGUGUACUUUUUGGGACUUGGAUUUGCAGUAGUGCAUAGAAGCCAAGGUUCCCUCUACACGAAAUACGAAGUGGGUGAUUCAGCUACUCUCUAUUGCAACGUUAGCACAGAUGAAGAAGUCGUAAACAGCUGCACAUUUUUGUGGGAAAUUACCGACGAACUUAAGAAUGACUUCAUAGAUAUCACAACCACGCCGAAAUAUCACAACAGAGUCAGUGUGGCAUCCCAAGACCUUUCAAGCAUGAUGACCAUACGAGAUCUGGCGGACACCGACACAGACGAGAUAAUGUGCACACCAUUGUGUUAUAUUUAUGAUGAUCUUCGUUACAUCUUGGGUAACGGGACAACUCUAAAAAUAACAGAACAAGAAAAGAAAAUAAAGGAACAAGAAAAUUUGGGAUUUCCAUGGCUGAAGUACCUCAUAUUCUCACUCAAUUGUAUAAUUUUCAGCAUUUCAAUGGUAAUCUGUAUCUAUAUUAUUCGAAAACGGCGUUUUGGGAAAUGUGCCCAAAACGAAUAAUAAUGCACUUUUAAACAAUUCUCAUGCCUAAAUCUAAAUGGUUAGGCGUUAAUUUCAUUCAACUAAAAUUGACGAGAUCAAAUGAUUUCGAAAGUGAAAGCAUUUUAAACUAAACAAAGGUGGGGUUAUUUUUUUUUCUAAAUGUUGACGAGGUUUAUUAAUUCGAUUAACAUUUAGCAAUAAAGCAGUCAAACUCAAACUAUCACAAAGGUGUUUAGUUUAGGCUAUUUUGCUUUGCUGUUUAUUUUGACGCAGUUUAUUGUUUCGAUUUAGAUUUACCAGUUAUGCACUAUAUGCUAUAAUCAACUGAUUUUUAAACACCUUGUCUUCGUAAGGAAGUAGGCCUAUAUAAAUGUAAUGUAAUAUCGUGUCAAAAUAUUUUCUUAAAAAAGUCAUAGCUGAAAUAAUCCGUUUCCAGCCAUUUUAAGUCAAAAUGUAACAAGCUCUCUUUAAAUAUAGCUUUGCCAUAUACAGUAUAUAAAAUGUUUUUAAAUCUGUAAUACUUAAUAUUUACGUAUGUACGACAAUUUUUAUUUAAAAAAAAAUUGGAUUAAAGGUCAGAAAAAACAAGUCUUGAGCCAGAAAAACAACUUACCAGUCGUUUUGCAAUUCCAUAAAUGAAAGUGUUUACCUUAUAGGUCGAUUUUUCCUUUACAGGUCGAUUUUUUUCUAUAAAUAGGAGGGACCAGGUUCUCAGAUUACACCUGUGUGUGAAGAUUGGAUUGUUCUCUUCCAUCAAUCUUUGACAACAAAAACUGAAAAUAUGUAUAAAAUAUGUAUUUAACAUUAUUACAAAUACAUUUUCAAGUAUCUCACUUCAUUUGUUUUAUUAAUUUUAAUUCUCAAGUAUAUAAAAAAUGUAAUAAUAGAGAAUUUUCUGUCAGGGCAUUUUCCAAUAACUGUACAAGCAACACCACUGUAAAAGUAAACAAUAUGUAGAGAAUAUUUGAAAUACAAAUAAAGUUUUUACAGUUUACAGUACUUUUUAUAUAAUCAUGCAUUAUUUAAAAAAAAAAAAAA